This 481-nucleotide ribosomal RNA is filed under the name uncultured bacterium. RNAcentral describes it as "partial 16S ribosomal RNA". It matches the Rfam family "Bacterial small subunit ribosomal RNA", at positions 28 to 507 of the family's 1533-position model. The record is from RNAcentral.
GAUGAACGCUGGCGGCGUGCUUAACACAUGCAAGUCGAACGAAGCACUUUAUUUGAUUUCCUUCGGGACUGAUUAUUUUGUGACUGAGUGGCGGACGGGUGAGUAACGCGUGGGUAACCUGCCUUGUACAGGGGGAUAACAGUUGGAAACGGCUGCUAAUACCGCAUAAGCGCACGGCAUCGCAUGAUGCAGUGUGAAAAACUCCGGUGGUAUAAGAUGGACCCGCGUUGGAUUAGCUAGUUGGUGAGGUAACGGCCCACCAAGGCGACGAUCCAUAGCCGACCUGAGAGGGUGACCGGCCACAUUGGGACUGAGACACGGCCAAAACUCCUACGGGAGGCAGCAGUGGGGAAUAUUGCACAAUGGGCGAAAGCCUGAUGCAGCGACGCCGCGUGAGCGAAGAAGUAUUUCGGUAUGUAAAGCUCUAUCAGCAGGGAAGAUAAUGACGGUACCUGACGAAGAAGCACCGGCUAAAUACGUG